CUACGGGCGGCUGCAGUGGGGAAUAUUGCACAAUGGGCGCAAGCCUGAUGCAGCAACGCCGCGUGAACGAUGAAGGCCUUCGGGUUGUAAAGUUCUUUUCUUAGGGAAGAAUAAAUGACGGUACCUAAGGAAUCAGCCCCGGCUAACUACGUGCCAGCAGCCGCGGUAAUACGUAGGGGGCAAGCGUUAUCCGGAAUCACUGGGCGUAAAGGGAGUGUAGGCGGUCAAGCAAGUCAGAGGUGAAAGGCAUCGGCUCAACCGAUGUAAGCCUUUGAAACUGUUUGGCUUGAGUGCAGGAGAGGUAAGUGGAAUUCCUAGUGUAGCGGUGAAAUGCGUAGAUAUUAGGAGGAACACCAGUGGCGAAGGCGACUUACUGGACUGUAACUGACGCUGAGGCUCGAAAGCGUGGGGAGCGAACAGGAUUAGAUACCCCCGUAGUC
This 440-nucleotide ribosomal RNA is filed under the name uncultured bacterium. RNAcentral describes it as "partial 16S ribosomal RNA". It matches the Rfam family "Bacterial small subunit ribosomal RNA", at positions 339 to 795 of the family's 1533-position model. The record is from RNAcentral.